UGCAGUCGAGCGGACAGAUGGGAGCUUGCUCCCUGAUGUUAGCGGCGGACGGGUGAGUAACACGUGGGUAACCUGCCUGUAAGACUGGGAUAACUCCGGGAAACCGGGGCUAAUACCGGAUGGUUGUUUGAACCGCAUGGUUCAGACAUAAAAGGUGGCUUCGGCUACCACUUACAGAUGGACCCGCGGCGCAUUAGCUAGUUGGUGAGGUAACGGCUCACCAAGGCAACGAUGCGUAGCCGACCUGAGAGGGUGAUCGGCCACACUGGGACUGAGACACGGCCCAGACUCCUACGGGAGGCAGCAGUAGGGAAUCUUCCGCAAUGGACGAAAGUCUGACGGAGCAACGCCGCGUGAGUGAUGAAGGUUUUCGGAUCGUAAAGCUCUGUUGUUAGGGAAGAACAAGUGCCGUUCAAAUAGGGCGGCACCUUGACGGUACCUAACCAGAAAGCCACGGCUAACUACGUGCCAGCAGCCGCGGUAAUACGUAGGUGGCAAGCGUUGUCCGGAAUUAUUGGGCGUAAAGGGCUCGCAGGCGGUUUCUUAAGUCUGAUGUGAAAGCCCCCGGCUCAACCGGGGAGGGUCAUUGGAAACUGGGGAACUUGAGUGCAGAAGAGGAGAGUGGAAUUCCACGUGUAGCGGUGAAAUGCGUAGAGAUGUGGAGGAACACCAGUGGCGAAGGCGACUCUCUGGUCUGUAACUGACGCUGAGGAGCGAAAGCGUGGGGAGCGAACAGGAUUAGAUACCCUGGUAGUCCACGCCGUAAACGAUGAGUGCUAAGUGUUAGGGGGUUUCCGCCCCUUAGUGCUGCAGCUAACGCAUUAAGCACUCCGCCUGGGGAGUACGGUCGCAAGACUGAAACUCAAAGGAAUUGACGGGGGCC
RNAcentral lists this ribosomal RNA (883 nucleotides) under uncultured Bacillus sp. RNAcentral's name for it is "bacterial SSU rRNA". It matches the Rfam family "Bacterial small subunit ribosomal RNA", at positions 56 to 921 of the family's 1533-position model. Lineage: Bacteria; Bacillati; Bacillota; Bacilli; Caryophanales; Bacillaceae. The record is from RNAcentral.